Cyprinus carpio carpio is the source of this 120-nucleotide ribosomal RNA. Lineage: Eukaryota; Metazoa; Chordata; Actinopteri; Cypriniformes; Cyprinidae. The record is from Ensembl.
GCUUACGGAUAAUUCCACCCUGAGCGCGCCCGAUCUCGUCUGAUCUCGGAAGCUAAGCAGGGUCGGGCCUGGUUAGUACUUGGAUGGGAGACCGCCUGGGAAUACCAGGUGCUGUAAGCU